Molecule: ribosomal RNA, 489 nt
Filed under: fungal sp. TRN5
Lineage: Eukaryota; Fungi
Description: SSU rRNA
Rfam family: Eukaryotic small subunit ribosomal RNA
Source: RNAcentral
GUCUAAGUAUAAGCAACUAUACGGUGAAACUGCGAAUGGCUCAUUAAAUCAGUUAUCGUUUAUUUGAUAGUACCUUACUACAUGGAUACCUGUGGUAAUUCUAGAGCUAAUACAUGCUAAAAACCCCGACUCACGGAGGGGUGUAUUUAUUAGAUAAAAAACCAAUGCCCUUCGGGGCUCCUUGGUGAAUCAUAAUAACUUAACGAAUCGCAUGGCCUUGCGCCGGCGAUGGUUCAUUCAAAUUUCUGCCCUAUCAACUUUCGAUGGUAGGAUAGUGGCCUACCAUGGUGGCAACGGGUAACGGGGAAUUAGGGUUCUAUUCCGGAGAGGGAGCCUGAGAAACGGCUACCACAUCCAAGGAAGGCAGCAGGCGCGCAAAUUACCCAAUCCCGAUUCGGGGAGGUAGUGACAAUAAAUACUGAUACAGGGCUCUUUUGGGUCUUGUAAUUGGAAUGAGUACAAUUAAAUCCCUAACGAGGAACAAGUGAG